AAUGAACGCUGGCGGCAUGCCUUACACAUGCAAGUCGAACGGCAGCAUGACCUAGCUUGCUAGGUUGAUGGCGAGUGGCGAACGGGUGAGUAAUGCAUCGGAACGUGCCUUUUAGUGGGGGAUAACGUAGCGAAAGUUACGCUAAUACCGCAUAUUCUCCGAGGAGGAAAGCAGGGGACCUUCGGGCCUUGCGCUAGAAGAGCGGCCGAUGUCGGAUUAGCUAGUUGGUGAGGUAAAGGCUCACCAAGGCAACGAUCCGUAGCGGGUCUGAGAGGAUGAUCCGCCACACUGGGACUGAGACACGGCCCAGACUCCUACGGGAGGCAGCAGUGGGGAAUUUUGGACAAUGGGCGAAAGCCUGAUCCAGCCAUGCCGCGUGAGUGAAGAAGGCCUUCGGGUUGUAAAGCUCUUUCGGCCGGGACGAAAUCGCAUUCUCUAAUACAGGAUGUGGAUGACGGUACCGGAAUAAGAAGCACCGGCUAACUACGUG
This 490-nucleotide ribosomal RNA is filed under the name uncultured bacterium. RNAcentral describes it as "bacterial SSU rRNA". It matches the Rfam family "Bacterial small subunit ribosomal RNA", at positions 29 to 507 of the family's 1533-position model. The record is from RNAcentral.